This 543-nucleotide ribosomal RNA is filed under the name Aqaballianassa aqabaensis. RNAcentral's name for it is "partial 16S ribosomal RNA". It matches the Rfam family "Bacterial large subunit ribosomal RNA", at positions 1829 to 2625 of the family's 2925-position model. Lineage: Eukaryota; Metazoa; Arthropoda; Malacostraca; Decapoda; Callianassidae. The record is from RNAcentral.
GUCUGAUUGAACACAACAACCAGUCUGGCCUGCCCACUGAUAAUUUUAAAGGCCGCGGUAUCAUGACCGUGCAAAGGUAGCAUAAUAAUUAGUUUUUUAAUUGAAAACUGGAAUGAAAGGUUUGACAAAAAGUGAACUGUCCCAAAAUUUACAAUUGAAAUUAACAUUUAAGUGAAAAGGCUUAAAUAAUCUUAAAAGACGACAAGACCCUAUAAAACUUUAUAUAAAGAUUAAAUCCCUUAACUUAUAAGUUUAACAAGAUUAUUUAUCCCUUGUGUAUUUCGUUGGGGCAACGGAAGCAUAAUAAAGACCUGCUUUUUUUUUCUAUACAAUUAUCUUUGUAUAUUUUAUGACCCUUCUUGAGAAGAUCAAAAGAAAAAGUUACUUUAGGGAUAACAGCGUUAUUUUUUUUGAAAGUCCCUAUUGACAAAAAAGUUUGCGACCUCGAUGUUGAAUUAAAGUACCUCCAUAAUGCAGCAGUUAUGGAAGUAGGUCUGUUCGACCUUUAAAACUUUACAUGAUUUGAGUUCAAACCGGCGUGAG